Molecule: long non-coding RNA, 1043 nt
Filed under: Cricetulus griseus (Chinese hamster)
Lineage: Eukaryota; Metazoa; Chordata; Mammalia; Rodentia; Cricetidae
Description: lncRNA (ENSCGRG00015034277.1)
Source: RNAcentral
AUUUGGCACUAUGUGUGUUCAACGAGCAGCAUGCGAGAACUUCAACAUUUAGUCAUCUGAACACUGGGGAACUUACUUGCUCACCCCAUAGGAAGUUGCCACCACCUCUGCAAUUUCAAAGAUUACAGCAGCCUUUGAACAGCCCCAUGAGGAGCACCAGUGUUGCUGGAUUAUAGCACACAUUAAUUCAAAGUGACCUCAUCUUAAUGUAUUAUAUCAGCAAAGACCUUAUUACCAGUCUGCUUCCUGGAGUUGUAGCCCUGACCUCUGAAAGCAGACCACUUCCUCUUCAUCUUGGCCAUGGGUACUUGAGAGGAGCAACCGAGUCCCUCAUUCCUUAUCUAGCCAAGUGAUCACACUUCUGAAAAUCAAUUCUGCACUGAGGUGCCAUCUUCAGAAAAGGCUUAUUUUUUAACCCCAAAGGGACACAUUUAGGAAGGCAGCCUCUCUUCUGCACUGAGAACUAUGGAGAACACAGCUGAAUCCUCCACCCUGGGGCAGCCAGCCACAUCCUGGAUCUGGGACCAAGACUGUGAUUCAAACAACUAUACAUUGUCCACAUUGCCUUUGCCCCAGUUUCACUUUGUAAUUUCUGCGAAUUCAAGAUGGAGAGUCCAAUUUAAGAAAAUGCAUGGUCCCAAGGCUCCCACACGUGCAGCAGGACUCAUCUCGACCUUUUUGUGAUUCUGAAGAUGUGGAGUCCACAUGGAAGCAUCACAUGGACUCAUAAUUAUUGAUCCCUGGGGACUCAGACUAUUUCAGCAGGAAUAAAAGACAAUGGAUAUGGUGUGGGCAACUGUGUCGUUUUAAUGAAACUCACACUUCCAGCACAGAAUGAAGAAAGCCCAGACUCAAAGACAUUCAGGACAAGCUUCUUUUCACAUGUCCCAGCAUGCCUGUGUACACUGGUUCAUGUUUACUCCUUACUGAGCGGGAGGGUAGGAGUUUGCUGCUGUUAUUAGACAACAUGGGGACCAGCAGAGACUAGCUGAACUUGGAUAUUCUCACUGCUCAUGAAAGCGAGAGUCAGAGACAAUCCAAGA